UACGGGGGGGGCAAGCGUUGUUCGGAAUCACUGGGCAUAAAGCGCACGUAGGCGGUGACGUAAGUCGGGUGGGAAAUCCCUCGGCCUAACCGAGGAACUGCGCCCGAUACUGCGUUGCUUGAGGACCAGAGGGGUGCAUGGAAUUUCCGGUGGAGCGGUGAAAUGCGUUGAUAUCGGAAGGAACUCCGGCGGCGAAAGCGAUGCACUGGCUGGUUUCUGACGCUGAGGUGCGAAAGCCAGGGGAGCAAACGGG
Molecule: ribosomal RNA, 253 nt
Filed under: uncultured bacterium
Lineage: Bacteria
Description: partial 16S ribosomal RNA
Rfam family: Bacterial small subunit ribosomal RNA
Source: RNAcentral